UACGAAGGGGGCUAGCGUUGUUCGGAAUUACUGGGCGUAAAGCGCGCGCAGGCGGUUCUUUAAGUCAGGGGUGAAAGCCCAGAGCUCAACUCUGGAAUUGCCUUUGAAACUAGAGAACUUGGGUACGGGAGAGGUGAGUGGAAUUCCGAGUGUAGAGGUGAAAUUCGUAGAUAUUCGGAAGAACACCAGUGGCGAAGGCGGCUCACUGGCC
Molecule: ribosomal RNA, 211 nt
Filed under: uncultured bacterium
Lineage: Bacteria
Description: partial 16S ribosomal RNA
Rfam family: Bacterial small subunit ribosomal RNA
Source: RNAcentral